GCCAAAGAUAGUUUAAUGCAGCAAUACUUCAUAUAUCAGAUAGUUUGAGACUUUUUAAAAUUCAAAGAAUAUUCUCUAAAUUUUCCAAGUGAAAUAGUUCGCGAAUGAGCAAGCAAACAGAUACCGAUAUGGAAGAAGUAGCGUGAAUGGUUCAUUGAGGUUAGAAACGAGGCAUGGUUUGUUCAUUACUUCAUGAUGAUUAUUGUCAAACUCAACAUGAUCUUGUGAAAUCAUUGUGAGUAUCUCAAGCAGACAUUUCAAAAUCUUUGCUUAGGAAAAUUGCCUAUUAAACGAAUUGAAGUCGACAAGAUGUGGAAGUGCUUUACGUUAACACUAAUUUUUUGAAGGUCUUUUUCAUCCACAAGGUGAGCUUUUUGAACGACUCACACGCCGGUGGGGUUCUGCCAUAGCUCGAGUACUUUGCUUAAGUACUCGAGCUACCUAAUCUCUGACCAUUGCUGUCCCGGCAACAGCACCUGGAGACUUAAUCGGUAGAUCAAAACACGAAUCCAUCAUGGUAAAUCUGGUAUGAACAAAAUAAACCCUGAACAUACCCGGACAAGGAAGAACAAUUCAAUGGUAUCACUUGUAUUAGAUACCAUACGUCCACCACCAUUCAUCCGAGAACACUUCUCACUCGUCCGACAAACUCACUCCGUAUCGUAUACAAUUAACACCAACUCAUUUCCAGCGUUUAGUCAAACAGUCACUUCUCUCCGGGGUAUUACCGAAAUUAUUCCGUGCAUCAAUAUUUUAACCAACAGACGUGCACACCGAAGGGACCUCUCCAAUAACUGUGACAAUACAAAGUCCGAAACCCUGACCUGUGGACUACCGGUUUCCAUGGUACUAGAUUAUGUGGUUCGAUCCCAUAAUUCCAAGGAAAGACCGAGGAUACAUUUAAUCAUCAGUUUAUAGUCCCGGCAGACUAGAGGUACUGGUAGCACUUCUUCUCCCCAGGAUUGCAAUAACACCAAGAUGAGGGUCUUUCAUCAAGGUAACAUGCCUACCGAGGGGAAAGCCUACAGUCCUCGUAAGACGAUGUUGCAUGUUUAUUAUAGAUAACGAUAACCCGAAUCGUAAGAGAUCGUAUGUCAAGAACGGCCUAAAAACCGAUUCAGCACCAAAGCGAAAUAUCUAUGGCGCAAAGGUAAUGUCCUGUAUUUGUUGGGACCAAAAGACUUCUAUCUAUUAUAAGCAGCCGAAUUGUUUAAAGCGAAUACCCAUAUGUUGAUAUACCAGUUAAAAACUAUACCCGCCUUAUAACUAGACGUUACCUCAACCGACUACUAUUUAUAUCUAUCGAUGCAGAAUGCUCUGUCUGUUUUUAAGCCUCAAAAGAUGAACAAUCCUUUUGGUUUGGAAUCGAUAUGUGGCAAGAAAGAUGGGGAAAGAUCAUAGCUAACCAUGACUUAUAUAUAUAUAUAUAUACAUAUGUAUACCAAUGUAUAUCAAAAGUAUAUCAAUAAGCUUUCUAAUAAAAUAUAAUCAUUAAACAUUUGACCACCAAAUAAUAGACGGGGUUUUCGAAAUCUUGACCCAUAUUUUGCAAAUUAUUUUAAAUUACAAUUAGACAAUUUGUCGCAGACUUAUUUAUUAUCAAAUUUUUACUUCCUUAAAAUUAUG
Long non-coding RNA from Lucilia sericata (common green bottle fly), 1626 nucleotides. RefSeq lists it as uncharacterized. The transcript has 2 exons. The record is from RefSeq and is a predicted model, not a curated record. NCBI's taxonomy places the organism in Eukaryota, Metazoa, Arthropoda, Insecta, Diptera, Calliphoridae.